ACUUGAUUACUAAAUUCCAAAGCCAAAGAAAAGAGAAGAGAGGCGCAGACACAGGCCACACCCUGCUUCACUAUUUUAAAGAUUUUAGUUUUUCCUGUCUUCUCACUCUUCCCAUUGUUAUUGGUUGCUUUCUACUUUCUCUGAAGUUUCUCUCUCAACAAAGAACAAAACAAGGAAGCACCAAAACCAACAACUACAAGCAAGUACUACUACUACUACUAAUUAAUAACUGGAGCAGUGCUUGUCAAUUGACACAGCACAGCCAAGCCAACCCAAACCCGUCUCUGUUACUACUUUCCUUGACCUGUAACUGGUGGGUGUUUCCUUUUCUCUUUCCUUUCUUUGGAUCUGAAAAAGAAUUCUCUAACUAGGGUUUGUCACAGGUUCCUCUCUAAAUUUAGCAAAAUGCCGCCUGUUUUACUCCACUCAUGAGUGUCUUGGUUUUCUUUUAUGCAGCACUAACCCAGUUCUUCUCUUUGUAUGUUGGUUUAUUCUCUGUAGCUAUCCCUUUUCUUUUCCUGUUUUCUUAGCUUAAAAUGGCAAGAGAGAGGAUUCAGAUAAAAAAGAUCGAUAACGCCACCGCUAGGCAAGUCACGUUUUCAAAACGAAGAAGAGGGCUUUUCAAGAAAGCUGAGGAGCUUUCAGUUCUCUGUGAUGCUGAUGUUGCUCUCAUCAUCUUCUCCUCCACUGGCAAGCUCUUUGAGUUCUCCAGCUCAAGCAUGAAGGAAAUACUGGAAAGGCAUAAUUUGCACUCGAAGAAUCUUGAGAAGCUGGAGCAACCAUCUCUUGAGUUGCAGCUGGUAGAAGACAGCACCUGCUCCAGGUUGAGUAAGGAAGUUGCGGAGAAAAGCCAUCAGCUGAGGCAAAUGAGAGGGGAAGAUCUGCGAGGAUUGGAUAUAGACGAAUUGCUGCAGCUAGAGAAGUCUCUUGAGGCUGGAUUGAGCUGUGUGAUAGAGAAGAAGGGUGAGAAGAUUAUGAACGAGAUCACUGAUCUUCAAAGAAAGGGAAUGCAAUUGAUGGAAGAGAAUGAGAGACUCAAACAGCAAGUAGAUCCCUUCCUCCCAUGCGUGCUGUGUGGUGGAGAUAUCUAAUGGCCGAAAGCAUGUUACAGCUGAUUCAGAGAAUGUUGGUUACGAGGAAGGGCAGUCAUCAGAGUCCGUAACCAAUGUCUGCAACUCAAAUGGCCCUCUACAUGAUUAUGAAAGCUCUGAUACAUCCCUCAAGUUGGGGUUGCCAUUUUCAAACUGAAUGGGAGAUCGCAGGGAGAUUUCUUCACCAGCAAAUGCGGACACAAAUAAUUGCUUGUAUAUAUAAAUAGAACAGGAACAUAACUCAGGCACAUAGUACUUGUGUACCUUGGACAAGUGCGGGGAAACAUUUCUGUUUCCUUUACCGGAUGCUACUCAUGGAGUUUCUCUUAUUGUGUGCACAAGGGUUUGCAGCCCAUUUUGUUGCAUAAGGAAGAAGAACAGAAAAAAACCAAAUGCGCUUAUUGUUUUUGCA
This is an RNA transcript of Populus trichocarpa (black cottonwood), 1503 nucleotides long. It is a transcript of the gene named MADS-box protein SVP, with no coding region annotated. The transcript is spliced from 8 exons. The record is from RefSeq and is a predicted model, not a curated record. NCBI's taxonomy places the organism in Eukaryota, Viridiplantae, Streptophyta, Magnoliopsida, Malpighiales, Salicaceae.